UCCCAGAGAAAAAAGAGCUUUAUUUCCUAAAGCCUGGGGUCACCUCUACCCGAAGGGGCAGGAAACUUGGAAUCCACUUCUCCAACACUCCCGUGAGCAGGUGGCAGAACGGAGUUACGGAAGUCACCUGGGGCAGGUAUCCCCUCCUGUGUCUUGUUUUUCUCAUCUGGAAAAGCAGGUGUCAUGGGAUUGCCCUUCCAGGGCGGGCUGGCGUCCACGAGGGCCCAGAACAGCAAUCCCUGUCAUGUCGAUAAUGUCAUUACCUCCUCACGGCUCAUGUGCCCAGGCCUCACCUUCCCACCCACACUGGACGGCCGAUUUCCUCGUUACCCUGGCGACCAUAGAACCGUGGAGAAACACGAGAAGAGAUGAAGUAAGGAAAACCACUAAGCAGCAGUUACGGGCAGGUCGUAGGGAGCAGAUAAGCGCACACACCAAUGAAGCACCUUGGUUUUCUUUUUAAUUGACAGAGGACACUGCGCUGCCAGGGAUGGACGGACAGACAGACAUGGAAAGGCACAUUCGGUGUUGCAGAGCCUUGAGGACAUAACAAGAAGUCAAAAUGAGAGGCAACCCACAAAGCAUACCAACCUCCCAGCGGCUCCUGUAUCUCUGCGAAAAGCCUGGCAGUAGAACCAGCUACAACUCAUUCUUCACUUUCACACUGCGUUUCAAUAAACUGAUUUUCCCCCAGCUGCUUAAAAACGGUUUGUCCUCUUAAUUAGGUAAAUAUUCUCUUAUGAGCU
Molecule: long non-coding RNA, 746 nt
Organism: Tupaia belangeri chinensis (Chinese tree shrew)
Lineage: Eukaryota; Metazoa; Chordata; Mammalia; Scandentia; Tupaiidae
Exons: 3
Source: RefSeq, a predicted model, not a curated record